RNAcentral lists this long non-coding RNA (214 nucleotides) under Mytilus galloprovincialis (Mediterranean mussel). Lineage: Eukaryota; Metazoa; Mollusca; Bivalvia; Mytilida; Mytilidae. The record is from RNAcentral.
GAAAAAAAAUAAUUUGUUUUUGAUUCUGAGAAAAAAAAAUUGUUUGUUUCACCCUCAGCUGCCACUAUAUGUAAUGCUAAAAUUAAAAGAAAAAAAAUUGUUUUCGACUUGUCGCGAAAAAAAUAGAUUGUUUUUCGCCGCAGGCGAAAAAAAAAAUUUGUCCAGAAAAAAAAACCAUAGCCCCCCCCAGAAAAUCAAAUGGUUGCUGCCUUAC